UUGAAAGGGAAACGAUUGAAGUCAGUCGUACCGGUGGGUAAUCAGCCUUUCGGCGUGAUUAUGUGGAGCGUGAGGAGUUAAACGCCCUCAUGCCUGCAUAUUCGUGUUCUUUGGGUGUACUUACCCGCAAGGUAGGUUAACAUCAAUUUCGAACGUCAUAAAAUGGUUGGAGGAAUGUAGCUUCGAUCUCGUAUUGAAGUGUUAUAGCCUUCGGCAGAUGUGAUGAUCGGGAUUGAGGAUUGCAACGGAUACCCCUCGGGCUACCCGUCUGAUCUCUGAAAGUUACUCUGGUGCCGAAAGCUCGCUUACGGUCAUCAAAGUUGACGUUCAACAGGUUAGAACGGGAUAAAUUCGUUAAGGAUGUUGACGUA
This 371-nucleotide ribosomal RNA is filed under the name uncultured Glomeromycotina. RNAcentral describes it as "LSU rRNA". The record is from RNAcentral. Lineage: Eukaryota; Fungi; Glomeromycota.